GAUGAAGAACGUAGUGAAAUGCGAUAAGUAGUGUGAAUUGCAGAAUUCAGUGAAUCAUCGAAUCUUUGAACGCACAUUGCGCCCCUUGGUAUUCCAUGGGGCAUGCCUGUUCGAGCGUCAUUUGUACCUUCAAGCUCUGCUUGGUGUUGGGUGUUUGUCUCGCCUUGCGCGUAGACUCGCCUUAAAACAAUUGGCAGCCGGCGUAUUGAUUUCGGAGCGCAGUACAUCUCGCGCUUUGCACUCAUAACGACGACGUCCAAAAGUACUUUUUACACUCUUGACCUCGGAUCAGGUAGGGAUACCCGCUGAACUUAAGCAUAUCAAUAAGCGGAGGA
This 335-nucleotide unclassified non-coding RNA is filed under the name soil metagenome. Its description in RNAcentral is "partial contains 5.8S ribosomal RNA, internal transcribed spacer 2, and large subunit ribosomal RNA". The stretch from base 1 to 120 matches the Rfam family "5.8S ribosomal RNA", at positions 35 to 154 of the family's 154-position model. The record is from RNAcentral.